Molecule: ribosomal RNA, 468 nt
Filed under: Erysipelotrichaceae bacterium canine oral taxon 311
Lineage: Bacteria; Bacillati; Bacillota; Erysipelotrichia; Erysipelotrichales; Erysipelotrichaceae
Description: bacterial SSU rRNA
Rfam family: Bacterial small subunit ribosomal RNA
Source: RNAcentral
GAGUUUGAUUAUGGCUCAGGAUGAACGCUGGCGGCGUGCCUAAUACAUGCAAGUUGAACGGACUUGGAGGGUGCUUGCACCUAACAAGUUAGUAGCGAACGGGUGAGUAAUACAUAAGCAACCUACCUAUUAGCCUGGGAUAACUAUGGGAAACGAUAGCUAAUACCGGAUAGGUAACUUGAAGGCAUCUUUAAGUUAUUAAAGGUUAGAGACACUAAUAGAUGGGCUUAUGGCGUAUUAGUUAGUUGGUGAGGUAACGGCUCACCAAGACGAUGAUACGUAGCCGGCCUGAGAGGGUGAACGGCCACAUUGGGACUGAGACACGGCCCAGACUCCUACGGGAGGCAGCAGUAGGGAAUUUUCGGCAAUGGGCGCAAGCCUGACCGAGCAACGCCGCGUGAGUGAAGAAGGCCUUCGGGUUGUAAAGCUCUGUUAUAAAUUAAGAAUGGCUAUAAGGGACUAUAGAGA